RNAcentral lists this ribosomal RNA (1069 nucleotides) under Antarctic seawater bacterium COL-69. RNAcentral's name for it is "bacterial SSU rRNA". It matches the Rfam family "Bacterial small subunit ribosomal RNA", at positions 60 to 1143 of the family's 1533-position model. The record is from RNAcentral.
AGUCGAACGAUGACCCGGAGCUUGCUCCGGUGAUUAGUGGCGAACGGGUGAGUAACACGUGAGUAACCUGCCCCCCACUCUGGGAUAAGCACUGGAAACGGUGUCUAAUACCGGAUACGAGCUUCCGCCGCAUGGUGAGGAGCUGGAAAGAAUUUUGGUGGGGGAUGGACUCGCGGCCUAUCAGGUAGUUGGUGAGGUAAUGGCUCACCAAGCCGACGACGGGUAGCCGGCCUGAGAGGGUGACCGGCCACACUGGGACUGAGACACGGCCCAGACUCCUACGGGAGGCAGCAGUGGGGAAUAUUGCACAAUGGGCGAAAGCCUGAUGCAGCAACGCCGCGUGAGGGACGACGGCCUUCGGGUUGUAAACCUCUUUUAGUAGGGAAGAAGCGAAAGUGACGGUACCUGCAGAAAAAGCACCGGCUAACUACGUGCCAGCAGCCGCGGUAAUACGUAGGGUGCAAGCGUUGUCCGGAAUUAUUGGGCGUAAAGAGCUCGUAGGCGGUUUGUCGCGUCUGCUGUGAAAUCCGGAGGCUCAACCUCCGGCCUGCAGUGGGUACGGGCAGACUAGAGUGCGGUAGGGGAGAUUGGAAUUCCUGGUGUAGCGGUGGAAUGCGCAGAUAUCAGGAGGAACACCAAUGGCGAAGGCAGAUCUCUGGGCCGUAACUGACGCUGAGGAGCGAAAGCAUGGGGAGCGAACAGGAUUAGAUACCCUGGUAGUCCAUGCCGUAAACGUUGGGAACUAGGCGUAGGGUCCAUUCCACGGAUUCUGUGCCGCAGCUAACGCAUUAAGUUCCCCGCCUGGGGAGUACGGCCGCAAGGCUAAAACUCAAAGGAAUUGACGGGGGCCCGCACAAGCGGCGGAGCAUGCGGAUUAAUUCGAUGCAACGCGAAGAACCUUACCAAGGCUUGACAUAUACCGGAAAAGUUCAGAAAUGUUCUCCCCGCAAGGUCGGUAUACAGGUGGUGCAUGGUUGUCGUCAGCUCGUGUCGUGAGAUGUUGGGUUAAGUCCCGCAACGAGCGCAACCCUCGUUCUAUGUUGCCAGCACGUAAUGGUGGGAACUCAUA